RNAcentral lists this ribosomal RNA (564 nucleotides) under uncultured bacterium. Its description in RNAcentral is "bacterial SSU rRNA". It matches the Rfam family "Bacterial small subunit ribosomal RNA", at positions 338 to 916 of the family's 1533-position model. The record is from RNAcentral.
CCUACGGGAGGCAGCAGUGGGGAAUUUUCCGCAAUGGGCGAAAGCCUGACGGAGCAACGCCGCGUGAGGGAUGAAGGCCUCUGGGCUGUAAACCUCUUUUCUCAAGGAAGAAGAUCUGACGGUACUUGAGGAAUAAGCCACGGCUAAUUCCGUGCCAGCAGCCGCGGUAAUACGGGAGUGGCAAGCGUUAUCCGGAAUUAUUGGGCGUAAAGCGUCCGCAGGCGGCCCUUCAAGUCUGCUGUUAAAAAGUGGAGCUUAACUCCAUCGUGGCAGUGGAAACUGUUGGGCUAGAGUGUGGUAGGGGCAGAGGGAAUUCCCGGUGUAGCGGUGAAAUGCGUAGAUAUCGGGAAGAACACCAGUGGCGAAGGCGCUCUGCUGGGCCAUAACUGACGCUCAUGGACGAAAGCCAGGGGAGCGAAAGGGAUUAGAUACCCCUGUAGUCCUGGCCGUAAACGAUGAACACUAGGUGUCGGGGGAAUCGACCCCCUCGGUGUCGUAGCCAACGCGUUAAGUGUUCCGCCUGGGGAGUACGCACGCAAGUGUGAAACUCAAAGGAAUUGACGG